This 485-nucleotide ribosomal RNA is filed under the name Kribbella sp. Its description in RNAcentral is "bacterial SSU rRNA". It matches the Rfam family "Bacterial small subunit ribosomal RNA", at positions 326 to 823 of the family's 1533-position model. The record is from RNAcentral. Lineage: Bacteria; Bacillati; Actinomycetota; Actinomycetes; Propionibacteriales; Kribbellaceae.
ACGGCCCAGACUCCUACGGGAGGCAGCAGUGGGGAAUAUUGCGCAAUGGACGAAAGUCUGACGCAGCAACGCCGCGUGAGGGAUGACGGCCUUCGGGUUGUAAACCUCUUUCAGCAGGGACGAAGCGAGAGUGACGGUACCUGCAGAAGAAGGACCGGCCAACUACGUGCCAGCAGCCGCGGUAAUACGUAGGGUCCGAGCGUUGUCCGGAAUUAUUGGGCGUAAAGGGCUCGUAGGCGGUUCGUCACGUCGGGAGUGAAAACUCGGGGCUUAACCCCGAGCCUGCUUCCGAUACGGGCAGACUAGAGGUAGGCAGGGGAGAGCGGAACUCCUGGUGUAGCGGUGGAAUGCGCAGAUAUCANGAAGAACACCGGUGGCGAANGCGGCUCUCUGGGCCUUACCUGACGCUGAGGAGCGAAAGCGUGGGUAGCGAACAGGAUUAGAUACCCUGGUAGUCCACGCCGUAAACGUUGGGCGCUAGGUGU